UUUGGGACUGAUCUUGACACUC
Molecule: microRNA, 22 nt
Filed under: Macaca fascicularis (crab-eating macaque)
Lineage: Eukaryota; Metazoa; Chordata; Mammalia; Primates; Cercopithecidae
Description: microRNA miR-3913-1-5p
Source: RNAcentral